AAAAAGGGUGUUUGCCUCUUCGAUGGCACACGCACCGGCAACGGUGCGUGGGGUAUGGUUAUCAAGACAUACUCAACAUAUUAUUUUUUGAUCAGAGAGGCAGUUGGCUAUCCUUAUGUACCGGCGCCUCC
Small nuclear RNA from Galleria mellonella (greater wax moth), 131 nucleotides. RefSeq annotates it as U11 spliceosomal RNA. The record is from RefSeq and is a predicted model, not a curated record. The transcript has a single exon. Lineage: Eukaryota; Metazoa; Arthropoda; Insecta; Lepidoptera; Pyralidae.